This 253-nucleotide ribosomal RNA is filed under the name uncultured bacterium. RNAcentral describes it as "partial 16S ribosomal RNA". It matches the Rfam family "Bacterial small subunit ribosomal RNA", at positions 524 to 776 of the family's 1533-position model. The record is from RNAcentral.
UACAGAGGGUGCAAGCGUUAAUCGGAAUUACUAGGCGUAAAGCGUGCGUAGUCGGUUAUUUAAGUCGGGCGUGAAAGCCCCGGGCUCAACCUGGGAAUUGCGUUCGAUACUGGAUAGCUAGAGUUCGGCAGAGGGAAGCGGAAUUUCGGGUGUAGCGGUGAAAUGCGUAGAUAUCCGAAGGAACAUCAGUGGCGAAAGCGGCUUCCUGGACCAGAACUGACGAUCAGGCACGAAAGCGUGGGGAGCAAACAGG